This 274-nucleotide ribosomal RNA is filed under the name uncultured bacterium. RNAcentral describes it as "partial 16S ribosomal RNA". It matches the Rfam family "Bacterial small subunit ribosomal RNA", at positions 523 to 796 of the family's 1533-position model. The record is from RNAcentral.
AUACGGAGGGUCCAAGCGUUAUCCGGAAUCAUUGGGUUUAAAGGGUCCGUAGGCGGGCAAUUAAGUCAGAGGUGAAAUCCCACAGCUCAACUGUGGAACUGCCUUUGAUACUGGUUGCCUUGAGUUAUAGUGAAGUAGAUAGAAUAUGUAGUGUAGCGGUGAAAUGCAUAGAUAUUACAUAGAAUACCGAUUGCGAAGGCAGUCUACUAACUAUAUACUGACGCUGAUGGACGAAAGCGUGGGGAGCGAACAGAAUUAGAAACCCUAGUAGUCC